AGACCUUGCUGAAAUCCCUGUCCAGGUCUGGACACGNNNNNNNNNNNNNNNNNNNNNNUCCAGAGACCAGCAAGAACAAUCAGAAAUGUAAAUAUCAUAAUCUGCCAGAAAAAGUGGAAAUUGCUGGAUUGUUUGAACUGGGAAGAGGAGACCUGAGAGGACAAGACUUUAAAACAGGUGGUUAACCUGUGAAAUGUGGGAAGCCCAAAUUCAGUGUGAAACAGAUGUACAUGGAGAAAAAGGAAAUAUAUAGCAUCUUAUAAAAAGGCAUCCUGACGUCGUAUCAUGAGAGAGAAAACGUACAGAGUAGUAGCUACCUGUUUCCACCUUAUCUUGCUUCCUUGGUUUUCCUUACGUGCCAAAGUCAUGCUUCAGUGCCUUCUCCUUUCUGGUGCUUCUUUCUGCUAGAAAUUGCAGUUCCUGGCAACACUGGAUAUUGACUCCUCCCUAUGACAGAGAGCUGCGCACCUACAUGUAGGGACCGCUUUUUGAGCCCAUGAUGUCUGUACAAGCAUAACAAGUAUGUAAUAAAAUAGAUUUGCUUACUCUAGAAUAUUUUCA
RNAcentral lists this long non-coding RNA (561 nucleotides) under Struthio camelus australis. Its description in RNAcentral is "lncRNA (ENSSCUG00000015705.1)". Lineage: Eukaryota; Metazoa; Chordata; Aves; Struthioniformes; Struthionidae. The record is from RNAcentral.